ACUAAUUUGACAGAAUUAUUGUAUCAAAUUUAGAAUUUGAAAAAGGGUAUAAAUCCAAUUAGUA
RNAcentral lists this transfer RNA (64 nucleotides) under Otobius lagophilus. Its description in RNAcentral is "tRNA-Leu". Lineage: Eukaryota; Metazoa; Arthropoda; Arachnida; Ixodida; Argasidae. The record is from RNAcentral.